ACAACAGUUGGAAACGACUGCUAAUACCGCAUAAGCCCACGGCUCGGCAUCGAGCAGAGGGAAAAGGAGCAAUCCGCUUUGAGAUGGCCUCGCGUCCGAUUAGCUAGUUGGUGAGGUAACGGCCCACCAAGGCGACGAUCGGUAGCCGGACUGAGAGGUUGAACGGCCACAUUGGGACUGAGACACGGCCCAGACUCCUACGGGAGGCAGCAGUGGGGAAUAUUGCACAAUGGGGGAAACCCUGAUGCAGCGACGCCGCGUGGAGGAAGAAGGUCUUCGGAUUGUAAACUCCUGUUGUUGAGGAAGAUAAUGACGGUACUCAACAAGGAAGUGACGGCUAACUACGUGCCAGCAGCCGCGGUAAAACGUAGGUCACAAGCGUUGUCCGGAAUUACUGGGUGUAAAGGGAGCGCAGGCGGGAAGACAAGUUGGAAGUGAAAUCCAUGGGCUCAACCCAUGAACUGCUUUCAAAACUGUUUUUCUUGAGUAGUGCAGAGGUAGGCGGAAUUCCCGGUGUAGCGGUGGAAUGCGUAGAUAUCGGGAGGAACACCAGUGGCGAAGGCGGCCUACUAGGCACCAACUGACGCUGAGGCUCGAAAGUGUGGGUAGCAAACAGGAUUAGAUACCCUGGUAGUCCACACUGUAAAC
RNAcentral lists this ribosomal RNA (648 nucleotides) under uncultured bacterium. Its description in RNAcentral is "bacterial SSU rRNA". It matches the Rfam family "Bacterial small subunit ribosomal RNA", at positions 143 to 807 of the family's 1533-position model. The record is from RNAcentral.